AAAGUAGGUCGGAUAGUCGCGGGGUAUUAUUUACCUCGAGGAAAGUCCGAGCUCCACAGGGCAGGGUGCUGGGUAACGCCCAGUGAGGGUGACCUCAAGGAAAGUGCCACAGAAAUAUACCGCAAACCGGAGAUCAGAUGUCAGAGGUCAGUUUGCCGGGACUAUACGAGGAUUGCUGUUUCAAUUCUAGCGAGACUGAUCCUGACAUUUGAUCUCCGGUUUGUAAGGGUGAAACGGUGCGGUAAGAGCGCACCAGCGGUCAGGUGACUGGCCGGCUAGGUAAACCCCACCCGGAGCAAGACCAAAUAGGGGAGAGGUGACGCUGCCCGCCGAUCUCCCGGGUUAGGUCGCUAGAGGUGUUAGGUAACUAACAUCCCAGAGAGAUGACUAUCGCCCCUUAAGGGGAACAGAACUCGGCUUACAGACCUGCUUUGCAU
RNAcentral lists this RNase P RNA (437 nucleotides) under Bacillota bacterium. Its description in RNAcentral is "Firmicutes bacterium (anaerobic digester metagenome) RNase P RNA component class A". It matches the Rfam family "Bacterial RNase P class A". Rfam says of the family: Ribonuclease P (RNase P) is a ubiquitous endoribonuclease, found in archaea, bacteria and eukarya as well as chloroplasts and mitochondria. The record is from RNAcentral. Lineage: Bacteria; Bacillati; Bacillota.